ACAACUUUCAACAACGGAUCUCUUGGUUCUCGCAUCGAUGAABAACSCACCGAAAUGCGAUAAGUAAUGUGAAUUGCAAAAUUCAGUGAAUCAUCUAAUCUUUGAACGCAUCUUGCGCUCCUUGGUAUUCCGAGGAACAUGCCUGUUUGAGUGUCAUUAAA
RNAcentral lists this ribosomal RNA (161 nucleotides) under Amanita sp. 'ameripanthera'. RNAcentral's name for it is "5.8S ribosomal RNA". The record is from RNAcentral. Lineage: Eukaryota; Fungi; Basidiomycota; Agaricomycetes; Agaricales; Amanitaceae.